GUCGCGCGCGAGCUCCUUGGAGUCGGGUUGCUUGGGAGUGCAGCCCCAAUCGGGUGGUAAACUCCACCUAAGGCUAAAUACCGCCGUGAGACCGAUAGCAAACAAGUACCGUGAGGGAAAGUUGCAAAGAACUUUGAAGAGAGAGUUCAAGAGUACGUGAAACUGCUCAGAGGUAAACGGGUGGGCCCUCGAAAUCCUGCGGCGAGAGGAUUCAGUGCGGCCGGAGGAGUGCGAGCCGCGGUUCCACGAAGGCCCCUAGAGCGGGGGUCGUUCCGCGGCGACGCUCCGCAGGUCGCACGCAUUUGUCUCUCGUCCACUGGGACGCUGCGGCCGGUUCGGUAGCGAAAGCGCGACGGCCUGAAGGUCGGGGAGAGGCAGGGGGCCGGCGGUCCGCAAGUGGAGAUCGCCGGUCGCUGGCCACCCCGUCAGUGGCAAGUCGCCGGACCGAGGUCUAUAGGAGUCCCCUCGGGGACUCUCGUCUCCGUCCCCCCGUCGGUUGCGGGAUACACGCAGGCGGGCGACCGACGCCUACUGGCCGCACCGCCCCUCAGGCGGUGGGCCGAAUGGCGUCGGGCGUCGCCGGUCGGCGAGGACCCGUGCGGGGAUCGGAGGCCCGCAGCGAGUAGGUCGGUCACCCACCCGACCCGUCUUGAAACACGGACCAAGGAGUCUAACAUGUGCGCGAGUCGGCGGGUCA
RNAcentral lists this ribosomal RNA (697 nucleotides) under Capeyorkia sp. UBCZ W.Maddison d258. RNAcentral describes it as "partial large subunit ribosomal RNA". It matches the Rfam family "Eukaryotic large subunit ribosomal RNA", at positions 243 to 701 of the family's 3401-position model. Lineage: Eukaryota; Metazoa; Arthropoda; Arachnida; Araneae; Salticidae. The record is from RNAcentral.